UACGAAGGGGGCUAGCGUUGCUCGGAAUCACUGGGCGUAAAGCGCACGUAGGCGGAUUGUUAAGUCAGGGGUGAAAUCCUGGAGCUCAACUCCAGAACUGCCCUUGAUACUGGCGAUCUCGAGUUCGGGAGAGGUGAGUGGAACUGCGAGUGUAGAGGUGAAAUUCGUAGAUAUUCGCAAGAACACCAGUGGCGAAGGCGGCUCACUGGCCCGAUACUGACGCUGAGGCGCGAAAGCCAGGGGAGCGAACAGG
Molecule: ribosomal RNA, 253 nt
Filed under: uncultured bacterium
Lineage: Bacteria
Description: partial 16S ribosomal RNA
Rfam family: Bacterial small subunit ribosomal RNA
Source: RNAcentral